ACGCUGGCGGCGUGCCUAAAACAUGCAAGUCGAACGGGGGAGCAAUCCCCAGUGGCGAACGGCGGAGUAAUACAUAAGCAACGUGCCCUGAAGUCUGGGAUAUACGGCCGAAAGGCCGGGCAAUACUGGAUGUGACGGAGUUCCGGCAUCGGGAUUCCAUUAAACGGUUUUUCGCUUCAGGAGUGGCUUAUGGCCUAUCAGGUAGUUGGUGGGGUAAUGGCCUACCAAGCCGACGACGGGUAGCGGGUCUGAGAGGAUGGUCCGCUCGAGUGGGACUGAGACACGGCCCACACACCUACGGGUGGCAGCAGUUGGGAAUCUUGCACAAUGGGGGAAACCCUGAUGCAGCGACGCCGCGUGGAGGACGAAGGGUCUAGGCCUGUAAACUCCUUUUCUCAGGAAAGACUUAGGACGGUACCUGAGGAAUAAGCACCGGCUAACUACGUGCCAGCAGCCGCGGUAAGACGUAGGGUGCAAGCGUUGUCCGGAUUUACUGGGCGUAAAGAGCGCGUAGGCGGUCUGUUAAGUGUAGAGUGAAAUCUCUGGGCUCACCCUGNAAACUGCUCUGCAUACUGGCAGACU
This 582-nucleotide ribosomal RNA is filed under the name uncultured bacterium. RNAcentral describes it as "bacterial SSU rRNA". It matches the Rfam family "Bacterial small subunit ribosomal RNA", at positions 33 to 642 of the family's 1533-position model. The record is from RNAcentral.